GCAUCCAUGGCUGAGUGGUUAAAGCGCCCAACUCAUAAUUGGUAAAUUUGCGGGUGUG
Triticum aestivum (bread wheat) is the source of this 58-nucleotide non-coding RNA. The record is from Rfam. Lineage: Eukaryota; Viridiplantae; Streptophyta; Magnoliopsida; Poales; Poaceae.